This 508-nucleotide ribosomal RNA is filed under the name uncultured bacterium. RNAcentral describes it as "partial 16S ribosomal RNA". It matches the Rfam family "Bacterial small subunit ribosomal RNA", at positions 28 to 523 of the family's 1533-position model. The record is from RNAcentral.
GACGAACGCUGGCGGCGCGCUUAACACAUGCAAGUCGAGCGAGAACCAGGGCUUCGGCCCUGGGGACAGCGGCGAACGGGUGAGUAACACGUGGGUAAUCCACCCUCGGCACCGGAAUAGCCCGGGGAAACCCGGAUUAAUGCCGGAUGGCCCGCCGGCCCUGCGGGGCUGGCGGAAAAGGUAGCUUCGGCCUCCGGCCGAGGACGAGCCCGCGACGGAUUAGCUUGUUGGUGGGGUGACGGCCUACCAAGGCUGCGAUCCGUAGCUGGUCUGAGAGGACGAUCAGCCACACUGGGACUGAGACACGGCCCAGACUCCUACGGGAGGCAGCAGUGGGGAAUCUUGCGCAAUGGGCGAAAGCCUGACGCAGCGACGCCGCGUGAGGGAAGAAGGCCUUCGGGUUGUAAACCUCUUUCAGGAGGGACGAAGCCACUCGGGUUAAUAGCCCAGAGGGUGACGGUACCUCCAGAAGAAGCCCCGGCUAACUACGUGCCAGCCGCCGCAGUAA